UGUCCCAUUUUAGUACCACUUUUUCAUUCCCUAGAAUAAGUGGCUAUGCUAAUGGGAUAGAUCAAUAUCUGUUAUUGUCUGAAGGGGUAGAUAUCUUCAUCUUCCCAUAAAUUAAAUAACAGAACAUGUUUCG
This is a small nucleolar RNA of Rana temporaria (common frog), 133 nucleotides long. RefSeq annotates it as small nucleolar RNA SNORA29. The record is from RefSeq and is a predicted model, not a curated record. The transcript has a single exon. Lineage: Eukaryota; Metazoa; Chordata; Amphibia; Anura; Ranidae.